RNAcentral lists this long non-coding RNA (324 nucleotides) under Mytilus galloprovincialis (Mediterranean mussel). Lineage: Eukaryota; Metazoa; Mollusca; Bivalvia; Mytilida; Mytilidae. The record is from RNAcentral.
GAAAUCAGGAACUAUGUGUCUGACUAAUCCGAAAAAGAAAAAAAAAGAUUGAUCUCUGAAAUCAUUGACAUGUGGUUCAAUGGUAUUGGAGAAAUAUGUGACAUCAAAGUUUAGGUUCAUUCAAAAUAUUGACGACUUUAAAGUCAGGCAAAAACGGAGUAGGUACUCUAAGUAUCUGAAAAGUGAUCACACAUUACAGCUCACCCCUGUCGAGUAUUAGAAAAUACGGACGAAAUAUUUGUUGGACGAACGUGUAUACGGACGGAAGUACGGAUGAUGAUUUCAAUAUAGCCCCAACUGUAGAGCAGCCAUAAAACAAUAUUU